UUUACAUUUUUUUCCCAAAUUGUCCACAUUCACGCUCAAAGAAGAGACACCCAUCUCUUCAGAAAGCCUGUUGUCCGGGGGUUGCCUCCCUAGAGGCCCUAGAACACAGCCGGUGCCUGACCUGCAAAUGCUCCCCCUGCCAAAAGGCUCUGCUAGAGAAGAGCCAGAUGGCCAAGGCCACCUCCCUCCCUGUGUAAACAUCUGUCACCCAGCAGAGUAAACAGGCCUCCCUGGGUAAGAGGAGCCCCCAUGCUGCUUCUGUGUGGUGUAGCCCAGAAACAAGGAGCCUCAGCCAGGGGCUCUGCACAGGGGCUCUGUCUUCAAUCUGGGCCCCCAAGCAACAGGGUCAUCUGUUUUGGCUCCUUCUCUGUGUAAACAGGGCUGGCAGCCCAUGUGGUUUGAGGACGGCCAGGCCCUGCUCUCCCUCCUCCCCACGCAAACACAUUACAAAGAAUCUUUGUAACUGUCCAGCAGAGUGGCCCAGCCCAGAGGAAGGGAGCCUGCAUCCGGGAGGGGGUGAGGGGAGAGAGACGUGCUGGAGGGUGGCAAGCGGAGGUGGCCGAGGGACGGUACCCAGCAACUCCCCAUACUGUAUGAUGCGGGGGCAUCAGCGUUGCUGUGUCUAACCACCAGAGGAAAGGGUCUGUCCCCUGCAGCAGAAACCAGGGAGGGAAUGAGGGCUGAUAUCCCGCAGUUCCAACACCUUUUUCAAAAAAAGGACUAAGCCUGGGGUCCCUGGGUGGGACUAAGCCCUCCAGCUCAGGAUAGAAGAAAGAGUAUUACUUGGAAGGUUGAGAAAACAGAUUAUAUUCCUGCCUCCACCCUGCAAUGAGCUGUGUGCCCUUUGGAUGGUGCCUUAACCUCUCUGAGAUUCCUUGUCUGGAUAAAUUAGAAUCAUACUCUCUGCCAUUCGUUGAGCUCCCUCCAUAGGACAGGGACUUCAGGUAUGUUAGUCUAUUAAUGCACACAGCUAUCCAGCAAGGUCGGAGUGGUUACUCCCACUUUCCAGAUAAAGAAAGUGAGACUCGGCAAGCAGAAGGGACUUGCACAAAAAAACACACCAAGUGGCAGAAGGACCUCUUCUCUGUGCCGAACUCCAUCCUGCCCCUGCAACUCAGAAAGGCAACAGCACCCGGAAGCAAAGCACAGGAGGAAAGCUGAAUUCAGCAAGCGGUGGGCCACUUGAGGACAGCACACACCCUUCUUCCCUCCUGGCAGCUCAGGUAGGCUCCGUGCCCAACGUGAGGCUUGAUCUCAUCACCCCAAGAUCGAGAGUUGCCACUGACUAAGCCAAGCAGGCACUCCACACCUGCAUUUUUUUUUUUUUUUAAGAUUUUAUUUAUUUAUUUUAGUUGGGGGAGGGGCAGUGGGAGAGGGAGAAAGAAUCCCAAGCCAACUCCUCAAUGAGCACAUGAAGCCCAGCUCGAGGGCUCUACCCUGCUACUGAGAUCACGACCUGAGCCAAAAUCAAGAGUCGGAUGCUUAACCGACUGAACCACCCAGGCCUCCCAGCUCCUUUUAUUUUAAACGAUCUUCCCAGUUCUACUGGAACAUAACUGACACAUUGUAUUAGUUUAAGUUGUAGGAUGUAAUGAUUUGAUAAAUGUAUAUAUUGCAAAAUAGUCACUGCAAUAAGUUAACAUUCACCACCAUACAUAGUUACAAAAUUUUUUUUCUUAUGAUAAGAACUUUUAAGAUUGACUCUCUCAACAACUUUCAAAUAUACAAUACAGUAUUGCUAACUAGAGGCACCAUACUGAACAUUACACUGCCAGAAAUUGCCUUAUAAUUGGAAGUUUGUACCUUUUGACCACCUUUACUCAUUUUCCUCAAUCUCUAAGCCUCUGGCGAUCACCAAUCUGUUCUGUUUCUAGAUUUUUUUUUUAGAUUUGUUUCUAGAUCUGUUUCUGUUCUUUUUUUUAGAUUUUACAUGUAAGUAAGAUCAUAAAUAUGUCUUUCUGCGUGUGACUUGUUUCAUUUAACAUAAUGACUCAAUGUCCAGUUGUAUUGUUGCAAACAGGAUUUCCUUC
Long non-coding RNA from Mustela erminea (ermine), 2030 nucleotides. RefSeq lists it as uncharacterized. The transcript is spliced from 3 exons. The record is from RefSeq and is a predicted model, not a curated record. Lineage: Eukaryota; Metazoa; Chordata; Mammalia; Carnivora; Mustelidae.